Long non-coding RNA from Gallus gallus (chicken), 1164 nucleotides. NCBI's taxonomy places the organism in Eukaryota, Metazoa, Chordata, Aves, Galliformes, Phasianidae. The record is from Ensembl.
AUCUCUUUCUGGAGAUCCCUGCCUAUCUGAUGCUCUUCCAAAGGGGAGUCCUUUUGUGGAGAAAGGCAGUAGUACAUGGUCAGAUGCUGUGCAAAUCCCUCUGGAGCCCCUGGAACAAGAAACAGAGGUGCAGCCCAGCUUACCUUGCAAGACAAACUUGGCCUUCAGCAACCUGAGCUAAAGAAUUACAGAAGUGGGGAAUAAGCCCAACUUGGUCUGUGAUGGUUCUUUGCUACUUCACUCCUCCAUGUGCAGCUUUGAUUACUGCUGGCUGAACACUAUGGAUGUAUGGCAGGCUUGACUGUCUGUGUAGCAGUAGGCUGAUAGCUGUAAUGGAAAUAGUUUCUCCUUCGAAUCAAGCAGCAAGCAGGGAGGUGUGCAAGAACAAAUCCACUUCUGUAAUGUUCCUGCAGCCAUAGACCACCAAACAAGUUUGGGAAGGCAGGACUGGAUGCCUGCUGCCAUCAGUGAACUGAGGACACAUCUUCACAUCAGCCUGAUUAUUCUUCACUCCAGGAAAACACUCUGAACUGAUGCUGCACCCCUCCCUGCUGAUCAAAAUCUCCUCAUUCCCCAUGGGACUCCCUGACCAUUUGGAAGCAGACCACAGGCUGGUGCACAGCACCCAUGCUGCACCAACUAAAAAAGCCUGGUGGAAAUUCUGCUGAUGUUAAUAAUUCAGUUAGGAGUUAAGGGAAGCUUUUGACGUACUCCUCCUCGUAGGUAGACGCCAGAGAUAUGGAAGUAAAAACACACAUGGAAAAGCCAGAAAUUGCUUGUUGCUUCAGGCUUAUUUUAAUUUCUUGCUCAGUAGGGAAUGCAUUAGCCCUUCACUUUGCUGGUGUAAGUAAAAAUAUUAGUUCUUCAGCUUUGGUUUUUCUGGUGGCUCUGGGGCUAAGAAUCUUUAAAUAAUGAAUGUACCAUCUGUCAGUAAGCUUAGCUACUAUUAUUUGGAUUAUAACCAGGAGUGUAUGUUACAAAAUAAAACAAUCUUCCUAAAAAGGAAGAGAUAGAUAACAAAAAGAAAUAGGACACAGAAGUUGUGGAUUCUCUGAGCAAGGGGAGAUACUGAAAUUUUAAACAAACAUUAGUGUUUUCUUCCUGUAUUUGCUAUGUUGCAAGGCAUGAGUCCCUGUUAGGCAGCUCAUGAGAUUUGUUCCCAUC